CUUUAAACGAAUAUGUUGUGUUUCGAUACAGUUUCGAAGCUUUUGUUGAGCGUUUCCUCGGGCGGUUAGUAGUCCAGUGUGCUGUGGGCCGCGAUUCGGGUCAGGGGGUUGUGCAGCAGCGGCGACUGGCGAGGGAUGGUUUGUGCUGAGAAAAAGCUAAGGCGAAGUUUUUAUCUACAUCUCCUCUAAGAGAUAACUUGAAGCCCCACCAACGAGUCUCGAGUGUUAGAUGAGGUACCCUAGAAAUUUUGGGCUCCACCAAGCGUGGAAGAACUUGAGAGAGAGACUGCCGAGUAAAGAGGCUGCUACACGGAGUACUGGAGUCUGGCGGUGUGACCUCGAUGAAACUUGCCACCGCCUUCACCUCAACGCCAGAAGAGGGGAAGUGCAUUGACUGACCCAACACCAGUAUCUGUGAUCAGUCUUUAAUAGUUUCCCUAGGUACCCAUUUACCCACCAGCUCAAAAGGGAGAAUGAACAGCUGGGUGAGCUGCAUGUCAACUGCCCAAGCCAGGGAUUUAUACCCAGACCCACGAUUCAUAGUGAGGCAUGCCAACCAAUCCACCAUGGAGGCACUUUACAGCAGUGGGAAUCUGAAAAUCCACAAAAUCCAGUUUGGUAAUGUAACAAAUGAAUGUUGUGUUCACUGCUUAUAAUGUAACAAACGAAUGUUGUGUUCACUGCUUAAGUAUCAGUAAUAAAUUGACAGUUGAGAAAAAAGUGAUUACAGUGCAUCAUCAGAUUGUACUGAAUAAAUGCAUGAUUUGCAAACAUUUAGCAUUAUGAACUUUAUUAUAAUAGAGAUAUUGAUGUGUGAUGGUGACUAUAGAAUUUGAUAUAUUUGUAAUUCACUUUAUGGCUGAGCAGUCUGGGCUCACACCUGUUAUGCUUGCAGCCUUAGUCAAUUUCAAUAAGUCGUUUGAUUCAGUGCAUCACAAGGCACUCCGAAAUAUCUUGCGACUCCGCAGGAAGGACUAUAUUAGUUUGCUGACUGGCCUACAUUCUGGGACAGAGUGCUGUGAAAUGUGGGGGAAGCUUGUCCAGCUUCUUUCCCAUGAUGCAGGAGCAAGACGGGGCUCAGUCCUUGCCUCGUCGCUUUUCAACACUUGUAGGGACUGGAUACUUGGCAGAGUUGUGGACCAGAUUCAGUGUAGAGCAUCUGUUGGCAAUACCAGGGUCUCUGACCUUGUUUUUGCUGAUGAUGCAGUAAUCCUGGAGUAGUCGCUGAACGUUCUGGUGAUGGCUCUUGAGGCACUGCACAAGGAGGCGAAGCCCUUGGGCUUCAGGAAAAAGCUCUUGAGGCACUGCACAAGGAGGCGAAGCCCUUGGAACUUCAGGUUUCCUGGGCCAAGACCAAGGUACAGUUGUUUGGAGGCUCAUUAGAUGAAACUGUACAGUUUGUUCAUGCGAGUGCCAAGGACAGUGAGAUCUUAGAAAAUAUCACAUACUUUGGUAUCAUAGUUCAUACUGGCGAGUCUCUUCAGAAAGUCUUACUCUUUUGUUUCUUUUUUAGGAGCAGCGGGCUUUUUUUUUAUUGU
Eriocheir sinensis (Chinese mitten crab) is the source of this 1538-nucleotide long non-coding RNA. RefSeq lists it as uncharacterized. Lineage: Eukaryota; Metazoa; Arthropoda; Malacostraca; Decapoda; Varunidae. The transcript is spliced from 4 exons. The record is from RefSeq and is a predicted model, not a curated record.